GUCAAAUUUAUGAAAGUAUAAAAGUAUUUAUAUAAAUGCAGGGCUUUGAUUUGUGUGGCUGCUUGUUUUGUCACAUGACCAACUAGGAAGUUAUAAAGUUUGGCUUCCUCCUGCCAUUUGCCAUUGUGUCUGGGUUCCCCUGUUAUGCAGGGUGAGUGCUUUGUGUUCCACUUCAUGGAGGACACAGAGGUGACUGCCUGAUUUUACAGUAAAGACUUGACCACCUAUUGAGUAGCUGGGCUACAGACAUUGAUUUGCACUGGAAUGUCCCAUUUUGCUCCCGUGUUACUGUGCUGUGGGGGAGCACUGAACGCUCUUGCAAAGUAGGCCUAUAUUCAUUGUAUGUGUUUAUUAUGCCUCUGCUCUUCAUAAGUGCUUUGAAUGAAAUUAGAAUCUAAUAUGUUUCUUUUCUCUUGCAAAGACCAGGCCAGUCACUGUUUUACUGUUAGUUCACGCCUUUUUUGUGGUGUUUUGUUUGUUUGCUCUGGCUGUCUUCAAAUAGCCACAGUAUUUACUUGCCCUGAGUGUUUCUACCUGGGUAAAUAUUGCCCCGUAGUUAUACUGUAUGUAAGCUUUAACUUUAGUCUAUUGUUGUACUGGGAGCUGGCUGUUCUCCUGCUUUUGUCUCCAUGUAGGUUCUCUUUGUACAGGGCCGGAUCCGCACCUGACUAGCUCCUUUCUGUGGGGGGCUGCACUGAGGGGGGACACUUCUAUCUUGGUGUGUACUGGUAAUAUACAACACAGUGUGUCAUAUUGUAGUGAUAUUCACAGCUAUUGCGUGUGUGCAGUGCUUGGUGUGUGCAUGCUUGUGUGGUGUGGGUUUUGCUGCCUCUUUCCUCUCUCUCACUGGGGCCACCUGAGAUGGGAGCUGUGUGUGCUGAUCCGACCUUAUUACUUUGAGGAGUCCCAGCCAGUUGCCCUCCAUUGUCCUUGUUCCUGUCUUUCACAUCAUUUAAUUGUAUUUAUACUAAUUUGUAAUAAAUUUGAACUGCUCAUA
Long non-coding RNA from Neoarius graeffei (lesser salmon catfish), 997 nucleotides. RefSeq lists it as uncharacterized. Lineage: Eukaryota; Metazoa; Chordata; Actinopteri; Siluriformes; Ariidae. The record is from RefSeq and is a predicted model, not a curated record. The transcript has 2 exons.